RNAcentral lists this transfer RNA (75 nucleotides) under Marmota monax (woodchuck). RNAcentral describes it as "tRNA.Ala". Lineage: Eukaryota; Metazoa; Chordata; Mammalia; Rodentia; Sciuridae. The record is from RNAcentral.
GCUGUGCAUAUAGUUCAGUUGGUAGAGUACUUGCCUUGCAUGUGCAAGGCCCUGGGUUCAAUCCCCAGCACAACA